CUCUGCCCUGUGCUCUCAGCACAGGCUUGAUGUGCAGGUUUUACCGUGGACCUGCAGGUCCAGGCCCAGCCCUUCCCCACGUGCACACACACACAGAUGUUUACCCAUAUAUGAUCAUUUCAGAGAACAACCAAAUUCCCUCUAAGCCAGGAAACUCCACAACCAGAAAACACAGCAGUCACCUCUCAGACUUGGGGAUGCAAUUGAAAAACUGAUUAUCGUGUGGAGGCAAGGAAACUGUCAUACCCAGCUCUACAAGAAACUAAAAUAUUACACUGACUUGAUAAGAAAAAAUACCCUGUUUUCCAAUAAAUUAUACUUUUGAAGGAAGAUGAUAAAAUAAUAUUAGAGAAAGAAGGGGAAAACAAUCUUACAAAUUACCAAAAUAGGAUUUAGCUCUUCAGAUUCCUUAAUUAG
Molecule: long non-coding RNA, 417 nt
Organism: Corapipo altera (White-ruffed manakin)
Lineage: Eukaryota; Metazoa; Chordata; Aves; Passeriformes; Pipridae
Exons: 3
Source: RefSeq, a predicted model, not a curated record